CUCAUCUGUCAGGGAAACAGAGGCACAAAAGUGUGUGCGUGCGCAUGCGUUGUGUGCACGCCAGCGUGAGUGUGUGUGCCCGUGCGUGUGUGUGCCCAUGCGUGUGAAAGAACGAUGCCGAUACAGAAGGAAGGGCAAGGAGCUCUUCCACCUUACUAGGAUAAACAUCAAUGGAUAUUUUGUGUCAGGCUGGUUCAGUACCUUACUAGAUCCAACACGCCUAACUGCCCCAUUACGAGGCUCUACUAUUCCCCUCAUUGUCCAGUGAGGAGACGCGAAGUGAUGUGCCCAGGUUCCUUAGCCGUAAAAAGUGCAAUCGGUCCUAAAACUCGGGAAGCUUGACUCCAAAGCCAGCAUCCUUCACCCUGUCUUGUCUGCCCUGUGUUGAUACGCGGGACAAUUUCAACAGCAAUACACAGAGAAGGGGCAGGACGGACGGACGGACGGACGGACGGACGGACGGAGGGACUGACUCCUUUGGGCAAUGCUUUGAGUGUCUUUGUUUUGAGAUGGGGCCCUGUGUGGCCUGGAAUUUACUCUGCAGCCCAGACUGGCCUUGUGCUAAUGACCCUCUGCCUUGGAAUCCCCAUUGACAGCGGCAUUGCCAUUGCCGCGGUGAGGCACUGCACCUUGAGGGGGACUCUAAGGUCCUCCUAGGCCCUUCCCUGCUGUGGAUGCCAUUCAGCCCCCUCCCCCACCUCCACAGGAAGUCAGAGCUGCGAGGGUCUAGCUCUACAUCCCAAGGUCAAUACAACUCAUCCUGGAUCCUGAAGGAUUACCCAGCCAGCGUCCCAGCUGUCAACAGGGGACCAGGAAGGGUGGGAAUAUUCUGUGGGACAGGUGCGGGACAUCUAUGAGGCCAUGGGAGCCCUUCUUGUCUUUCCCAGCAUUUCUGUUUGUCUCCUGUCGUCCCUGCAAGCCACCCAGUUUUCCAUACAGGAGAAACCGCUGAGGUUAUAGACCCCCCAAGAUCGGCCUCUCUGGUUACACUCAUGAGACAUUAGGUCUGUGGCUUUUUGUUGUUGUUGUUGUUUGGCUUCUCUGUUCAGUCCUUCCUAUAGUGCCAUGGGAAAUGGCAGAGAAAGGGGUUUUGGGGUUGAACCCGAGGGCUGUAUCUGGGGAAACAGAAGCUGUUACCAUCCAGACGGCUGAGUAUGGGUCAAGAAGUGCUGUGUUUGGGUGUGGCCCGUUGGUCCCAGCCCUCACUCAUGCUGAAAUUUGACCCCCACAUAACAGUGCUGACAUCUUCAGGGGAAAGGUGUGCCCAUGUUUUUUUUUUCUUUAUGUUUUGCUUUGAGACAGGGUCUCACUCUGUAUCCCUAGCUGGCCCAGAGACCAGACUGGCCUUGAACUCACAGAGAUCCACCUGCCUCUGCUUCCUAAGUGCUGGGAUUAAAGGUGUGCCCAGCUGACAUGCCCAUCUUGGAGUGGGCUCCUCCUCCAGAGCAGUGUGCUUGCUGUAAAGCGAGGCUGUUUUGUGUUUCUCCACAUGUCCCCACUUGUCCUUCCCCUUUCCGACAUGUGCCAAAGCAGCACCAAUACCCCCCCCCAAGCACCACCCCCAGCUAAUCAUGCCGGCACUGAGCUCUCAGACCUCCUAGCCUCCAGAUCCAAAGGUCAAAACAAACCUCUCUCCUUUAUUAAUUACCCAGCCGCAGGAAAUUGAUGGAUAUGGGGCAUCCUGAGACCAUCCCUCUGUGGUCCAUGAGCAUCCUUUCAUACACCCUGCUCUUUUCUUCAGAGACCUUGGCUCCUCCCUCAGUCCUGUCCCAUGCCGGUUGACGGGCAGGGGAAUUUCUUAUUCCUUAGUUCUAGACUCUCCUCUGUCCCUGUCCCUGUAUCCCUAGCCCUUGCUUGGCUACAGCUCAGGAAGGGCUGCUCCAGGGCAGAGGGUGAGCGGGUACAGCAUGUGUUUGUUGAAGUUAAUGAUUCACCGCACUGCUCUCAGACCAGGGCUGCAUCACUACAGGAAUCUCACCACCCAAAUGGCUGCCCUGUUCACCUGCUGUAUCAUCGUCUGGGACCCAGAACUGCUGCCUCCUGGAUAGAGUAUUUAUGGCUAGGAAUUGAAUGAGCAGAGAAUGAAUCUGAGACUGGGCUGUGAUGCCUAUGGCCCACAUUUUACCAGGGCUAGGAAGCUGCCUGGAGAGAUCCACCUGCCAAUGAGCUUCCAGAGCAGGGCCCAACAGCAAGACAGAGUGCUCCGUGGCUCCCCCGCCCCGGCAGGACAACGCUGGGCAAACUCACCUUUGUAGUAGAAGAGGCAGCGGUCCACCAGAACAAACCAGCGCUUGUUCCACUGCUUAACCCCGGAGCUGGCCUGCGGGACACACAGAGAGACAGACGGGAAGGCCAUGAGCUGGGUGUGGAAGAGAAGGCAGACGCAGAGUACUGCGCUAGUUACAAGGACACCCGGCUGGAGCCGCAGCGCCACCGCCACCAGCACGUGGCAGCGACUCCCUUGAGAUCUCAGAUACCGGGAACUGACAUCAGAUUAUUGCCUGUGACUUUCCAGUUCUGUCAUUUCUGAGGCUCUGGGGAAGGUGAAGGGGGGGCGGGGGGCAAGAGGUACCCCAGAACGAGCGCGUAGAGGAGCAGACAAGAAUACAGCAGUGUCCAUCCAGGGCAAGUUGGUAAACUCCAGGACUUGAAGCUACCCCACCCCCACACAGCCAGGGGAUGCACAGGGAACGUGCCAUGGGUUGCUGAUGGUUUUAGUGACCGGGCAUACUUCAAAGUCAUCACAUAUGCCCAUCACAAACCUCAUCUUGGGUCCCCCAAUUUGACACUGGUUAACUUUGGGGAGGUUUUCAAUUUCUCAGAACCUUUGUACAAGUGGGAGACAUUCAGAGGCAACAGGAAAACACACCAAAGAGGGCCUGAGCGGCCGUGGGUACAGGAGCCUCACAAGGCUGUGAAGACAGUGAUGGUCGCUGCAGGCAACAUGGCAGGGUGGCCUCACCUGUUUGAAGAGCCAGCCGGCCUUGGUGACAGGGGCACUGGGGUUCCGCUUCAUGGAGUGUGAGCGCUUACCAAAGGCAAUGGCUUUGCGGGAAGUUCGAGUCGCCUGGAGGGGCAAAGGCAGCAGUUAGCCCAACUCCUCUCCUCUCCUUACAGCUCUGUCGGCAAGGGAGCUGUCCUUGCUAAGGGGCAUACCUCUCCAGUGGGUCCCUGGUGCCUUCCCAGUAAGAGGCAGUGUGAGACUUUGAUCGUCUAACUAACUCAAGGGCCUGGCCUUUUAAUUCUUUGGAUCGUCUGAUCUCAAACAUGAGUUUCAACAUUUCAA
Non-coding RNA from Peromyscus maniculatus bairdii (prairie deer mouse), 3286 nucleotides. The record is from RefSeq and is a predicted model, not a curated record. NCBI's taxonomy places the organism in Eukaryota, Metazoa, Chordata, Mammalia, Rodentia, Cricetidae.